GCCAGUGUUGCAUAGUGGUUUGACUGUUGGACUGCAAUUUUGGAGAUCAGGGUUCGAUUCCCUGCUUGGCCA
This is a non-coding RNA of Phrynosoma platyrhinos (Desert horned lizard), 72 nucleotides long. The record is from the annotation of a GenBank genome assembly. NCBI's taxonomy places the organism in Eukaryota, Metazoa, Chordata, Lepidosauria, Squamata, Phrynosomatidae.